Molecule: transfer RNA, 74 nt
Filed under: Dehalococcoidia bacterium
Lineage: Bacteria; Bacillati; Chloroflexota; Dehalococcoidia
Also listed under: 1 other name
Description: tRNA-Gln
Rfam family: tRNA
About the family: Transfer RNA (tRNA) molecules are approximately 80 nucleotides in length. Their secondary structure includes four short double-helical elements and three loops (D, anti-codon, and T loops).
Source: RNAcentral
UGCCGGGUAGUGUAGCGGUAGCACAAGGGACUUUGGAUCCCUCGGCCCAGGUUCGAAUCCUGGCCCGGCAGCCA